UUCGUAUUACAGACUACUCAUCCCAGGUUUAGAGCACAACAAAAGUCCCCAAGUACUCCAAACUCAGCGAUAUCUGAUCGCAGGUAUCACAGUGAGACUGGACUCCAGUGUGCUUCUUUCUAAUGCAGGGAGAGUGUAGAGCAGCAAUAGCAGAACACGUGUAUGGAAAGCAGGCCUUGUGUUCACGUGUCCUUUGGGAGGGCAGCGAUGAUAUUUGAAUCAAAAAUUGUUGGGUUAGCAGAUGGAGAUGGAAACCCUUUUGGAGGUUUCCUUUACAGGUCUGUGAUGUUAAAGUCGUCCGUUGUGUAGCAAAGGCUUUUUCUGCAACAACGCAUGUGGCUGCUGCAGAGGGUAAACUUUGUACUUUUUCCUCCUCCCAGAACGGCAAGGGGUGAGCAGAAAAGUCUGCAAGUGCCUUCCGCUGGAAACGGACCCUUCCCGAGUAGAGAUAUAUGGGGAGGAAAACCUGUCUGCCGCAGGGGAAGCAUCCUCAGUUCUUCUGCCUUCCAAGAAGCAAGCUCGUCGUUAUCCCAGCUUCAGAGCCCCCUUGACAGAAUCUUACCUGUCUCCAGGUGUUCCCUUUCUGGACACCACCAAAGCCUGGAACCUGGGUAGCUACCGAGANGAGGCCGAGGGCGAGAACCGCUUUUCUAUGUGUGCUGCCCAAGUAGCGUACGACGAGCUGCAGCAGUACACUGAAGGAUCGGGGCAGACAAUAAUGGCGUAAGUGCGGAGAGUAGCUAACUGGCGUAAUGAAAAGCUGGGUCCCUGUGAAGCUGUGUAUUUAAACACUGGUUGGACACUUGCGAUUGGCCGAAGGCUAGAAGGCCGGAAGGGUUGGUUUUGUCUACUGACUCACUUCUGCGAGCCUGGGGCGCCCGUCUUCUAAAGCUCUCGCUCCUCCUGGGCCGUAUGCUCCCAUUUGGCUGUGCCUUGCUACUUUCACAAGGAUCAGCAGACGUGUCAGGAAUAGCAGCCGUGAAAAGAGUUUCUGUCCCUCCUGGUAAGCGGUGACUGCUAUCUGUUGUGGCUGGCAGGGCGGAUGGCAAGUCAGCUAAAAGGAAACGCGUCAGAAUAGGGAGAACUAACCUUAGGUGAGACAGUGUUGGGCGGCGAUUUUAUGCAAACGGGUCAGAAUAGGCAGAGUUAACAACGUAGGCGAGACAGUCCUGGGCAGCGAUUUUAGGCAAACUCACAGGAAAGUUGACUUCCCUAAACGUAAUGGCAUUUGCAUACCUUUGCCAGUCGUGAAAUGAAACAGGCAAGGAGGAGAAAAGGAGAAUGGACUCAGGCUUGGAUCGACUGGGUUUAAUGGGGUGCUGCCCACUUUGCCCUCCUGGGCCAGUGACGCUGCUGCUGAUCUAAAUCACGCUGAAGCCUAGUAAACAGUUUAGUUUUAGCCUCUGUGCCACUGCUGCCUUCCCCUGAGAGCAAACCCAGCAGCAGUCAACUGAGGCCAUGCCUCCACUCUACCAUGUAGGUACCUCCAGGGCGGUGCUGUUUGGAUGCCGUGAAUGGGGACCCUCGCUGCCACCUCAGGAGGAGGAGGAGCAGGGCAUCUUGGGUGCAGACCAGGAGUUUUC
This is a long non-coding RNA of Salvator merianae (Argentine black and white tegu), 1583 nucleotides long. Lineage: Eukaryota; Metazoa; Chordata; Lepidosauria; Squamata; Teiidae. The record is from Ensembl.